GUUAGGAAUCUUCCACAAUGGGGGCAACCCUGAUGGAGCAACACCGCGUGCUGGAUGAAGGCCUUCGGGUCGUAAACAGCUUUUGUAUACGAAGAAUAUGACGGUAAUAUACGAAUAAGGGUCGGCUAACUACGUGCCAGCAGCCGCGGUCAUACGUAGGACCCAAGCGUUAUCCGGAGUGACUGGGCGUAAAGAGUUGCGUAGGCGGCUUAUUAAACGAGUAGUGAAAUCUGGUGGCUCAACCAUCAACACAUUGCUCGAACUGAUAGGCUUGAGAAUGGUAGAGGUAGUUGGAAUUUCUUGUGUAGGAGUGAAAUCCGUAGAUAUAAGAAGGAACACCAAUGGCGUAGGCAGACUACUGGACCAUUUCUGACGCUGAGGCACGAAAGCGUGGGGAGCGAACCGGAUUAGAAACCCUUGUAGUCC
Molecule: ribosomal RNA, 426 nt
Filed under: uncultured bacterium
Lineage: Bacteria
Description: partial 16S ribosomal RNA
Rfam family: Bacterial small subunit ribosomal RNA
Source: RNAcentral